UACGUAGGGGGCGAGCGUUGUCCGGAUUUAUUGGGCGUAAAGAGCGUGUAGGCGGUUCGGUAAGUCUGUCGUGAAAUCCUGAGGCUCAACCUCGGACGUGCGAUGGAUACUGCCGGGCUAGAGGAUGGUAGAGGCGAGUGGAAUUCCAGGUGUAGCGGUGAAAUGCGUAGAUAUCUGGAGGAACACCGGUGGCGAAGGCGGCAUCCUGGACCGGUAUUGACGCUGAGGCGCGAAAGCUAGGGGAGCAAACGGG
This 253-nucleotide ribosomal RNA is filed under the name uncultured bacterium. Its description in RNAcentral is "partial 16S ribosomal RNA". It matches the Rfam family "Bacterial small subunit ribosomal RNA", at positions 524 to 776 of the family's 1533-position model. The record is from RNAcentral.